AACGCACCUUGCACUCCUUGGUAUUCCGAGGAGUAUGCCUGUUUGAGUGUCUUGUAAUCAUCAAUCUUACAUUGCUUUUGUGAUGUCUGAUUGGAUUUGGAGACUGCUGGCUUAAUCGCUGGCUUCUCUUGAAUGCAUUAGUUGAAUCGACUUGCAACGCUACGUGUGGUGUGAUAAUAUCUUCACUGCAUAGUUGUAAUGAAGUUUGGCUUCUAACAGUCCUUCGUUGGACAAUACUUGACCAUUUGACCUCAAAUCAGGUAGGACUACCCGCUGAACUUAA
RNAcentral lists this unclassified non-coding RNA (283 nucleotides) under Corticium sp. (in: basidiomycete fungi). Its description in RNAcentral is "partial contains 5.8S ribosomal RNA, internal transcribed spacer 2, and large subunit ribosomal RNA". The stretch from base 1 to 52 matches the Rfam family "5.8S ribosomal RNA", at positions 103 to 154 of the family's 154-position model. The record is from RNAcentral. Lineage: Eukaryota; Fungi; Basidiomycota; Agaricomycetes; Corticiales; Corticiaceae. RNAcentral also lists the same sequence under 2 other names.